GUGUCAGCAGCCGCGGUAAGACAGAGGGUGCAAACGUUGCUCGGAAUUACUGGGCGUAAAGCGCGUGUAGGCGGACUGACAAGUCGGACGUGAAAGCCCUGGGCUCAACCCAGGAACUGCAUCCGAAACUGUCAGCCUGGAGUGGUGGAGAGGGAAGCAGAAUUCCUGGUGUAGAGGUGAAAUUCGUAGAUAUCAGGAGGAACACCGGUGGCGAAGGCGGCUUCCUGGACACUUACUGACGCUGAGACGCGAAAGCGUGGGGAGCAAACAGGAUUAGAUACCCGAGUAGUCC
RNAcentral lists this ribosomal RNA (292 nucleotides) under uncultured bacterium. RNAcentral describes it as "partial 16S ribosomal RNA". It matches the Rfam family "Bacterial small subunit ribosomal RNA", at positions 505 to 796 of the family's 1533-position model. The record is from RNAcentral.